UUAUUAAUAUAUGAAUCGCCUAAGACUCAGGUGACCGAUUGGUCUUAAUUUUGCCUGCCGAGGAGUUUAACGACUUUUCCCUGUGUUUUAGCGAGCAUGGGGAUUUUUUAUGCGAUUU
The sequence is a regulatory RNA element, 118 nucleotides long. It matches the Rfam family "Ribosomal protein L10 leader". From Rfam's summary of the family: This family is a putative r-protein leader autoregulatory structure found in B. subtilis and other low-GC Gram-positive bacteria. It is located in the 5' untranslated regions of mRNAs encoding ribosomal proteins L10 and L12 (rplJ-rplL). The record is from Rfam.